UGCCUACGGGGGGCAGCAGUGAGGAAUAUUGGUCAAUGGGCGGAAGCCUGAACCAGCCAAGUCGCGUGAGGGAAUAAGGCCCUACGGGUCGUAAACCUCUUUUGCCGGGGAGCAAGGGCGGGGACGUGUCCCGGCCCGGAGAGUACCCGGAGAAAAAGCAUCGGCUAACUCCGUGCCAGCAGCCGCGGUAAUACGGAGGAUGCGAGCGUUAUCCGGAUUUAUUGGGUUUAAAGGGUGCGUAGGCGGGCUUUUAAGUCAGCGGUAAAAAUUCGGGGCUCAACCCCAUCCGGCCGUUGAAACUGGGG
This 305-nucleotide ribosomal RNA is filed under the name uncultured bacterium. Its description in RNAcentral is "bacterial SSU rRNA". It matches the Rfam family "Bacterial small subunit ribosomal RNA", at positions 335 to 638 of the family's 1533-position model. The record is from RNAcentral.